GAUCCGAUCAAUUUAUUGGUUCCAUUCCCCUAUUCUACACUUCUCCUAAGAAAAAAUGCCUUGCAAUGCGUCCUAAUUAUCUGGACUACUAACUUACUUCCAUAUAACUUCGAAAACAGACAAUAAUCUAUUUCACUGGAUGAGAUUGGGCUCACGGAUUUUUUAAUGGAUUGGACAAGAAAUAUAGAAAAAUAAUGAAAAAUAUAAACAGUUACAAUAGAAAUGAGCGCAAAACAAGAUAAACAGAAUAUAACAAGGCCUAAAUGGUCAGAUAUCUUGGUUUUUAUGAUCAUCAACAGGUCCUGCAGGUCUAUACUGAAGAGGAAUUUUAAUUGUUAAUACCUUUCUACAUAAUGU
Mytilus trossulus (common blue mussel) is the source of this 357-nucleotide long non-coding RNA. RefSeq lists it as uncharacterized. The record is from RefSeq and is a predicted model, not a curated record. Lineage: Eukaryota; Metazoa; Mollusca; Bivalvia; Mytilida; Mytilidae. The transcript is spliced from 3 exons.